UGGGGAAUAUUGGACAAUGGGUGCAAGCCUGAUCCAGCCAUGCCGCGUGCAGGAAGAAGGCCUUCUGGGUUGUAAACUGCUUUUACCAGGGGAUAAAAAGCCCCUGCGUGGGUAAUUGCAGGUACAUGGUGAAUAAGCCACGGCUAACUACGUGCCAGCAGCCGCGGUAAUACGUAGGUGGCAAGCGUUGUCCGGAUUUAGUGGGUUUAAAGGGUGCGUAGGCGGCCUAUUAAGUCAGUGCUGAAAUAUCCCGGCUUAACCGGGAGGGUGGCAUUGAUACUGAUGGGCUUGAGUAGAGUUGAGGUUGGCGGAAUUGACGGUGUAGCGGUGAAAUGCUUAGAUAUCGUCAAGAACACCUAUUGCGAAGGCAGCUAACUAAGCUCAAACUGACGCUGAGGCACGAAAGUGUGGGGAUCAAA
This 419-nucleotide ribosomal RNA is filed under the name uncultured bacterium. RNAcentral's name for it is "bacterial SSU rRNA". It matches the Rfam family "Bacterial small subunit ribosomal RNA", at positions 355 to 772 of the family's 1533-position model. The record is from RNAcentral.